UCUCCGUAGGUGAACCUGCGGAGGGAUCAUUACAGAGUUCAUGCCCUACCGGGUAGAUCUCCCACCCUAUGUUAUUAUUACUUUGUUGCUUUGGCGGGCCGUUAGGCUCCGGCCCGACUACCGGCCCCGGCUGGUAAGCGCCCGCCAGAGGACCCAAAACCCUGAAUAUUAGUGUCGUCUGAGUACUAUAUAAUAGUUAAAACCUUCAACAACGGAUCUCUUGGUUCUG
Molecule: unclassified non-coding RNA, 229 nt
Filed under: plant metagenome
Description: partial contains small subunit ribosomal RNA, internal transcribed spacer 1, and 5.8S ribosomal RNA
Source: RNAcentral